GCGAGUCAUUGUAGCAUACAAGGCGGACGGCUCAGUAACACGUAGUCAACCUCACUCGUGGACGUGGAUAACCUCGGGAAACUGAGAAUAAACCACGAUAGAUCAUAGUGCCUGGAAUGGCUUAUGGUCCAAACAGUUUACUGCCAUGGGAUGGGACUGCGGCCUAUCAGCUUGUUGGUGAGGUAAUGGCCCACCAAGGCGAUUACGGGUACGGGCUCUGAGAGGAGAAGCCCGGAGAUGGGUACUGAGACACGGACCCAGGCCCUAUGGGGCGCAGCAGGCGAGAAACCUUAGCAAUGUGCGAAAGCACGACUGGGUCAGUCCGAGUGAUUCCUGAUAAAGGAGUCUUUUGCUUGUCCUAAAAGCACAGGUGAAUAAGGGGUGGGCAAGUCUGGUGUCAGCCGCCGCGGUAAUACCAGCACCUCGAGUGGUCAGGACGUUUAUUGGGCCUAAAGCAUCCGUAGCCGGCUCUGCAAGUCUUCGGUUAAAUCCACCUGCUCAACAGAUGGGCUGCUGGAGAUACUACAGAGCUAGGGAGUGGGAGAGGCAGACGGUAUUCAGUGGGUAGGGGUAAAAUCCUCUGAUCCAUUGAGGACCACCAGUGGCGAAGGCGGUCUGCCAGAACACGUUCGACGGUGAGGGAUGAAAGCUGGGGGAGCAAACCGGAUUAGAUACUCGGGUAGUCCCAGCUGUAA
Molecule: ribosomal RNA, 695 nt
Filed under: uncultured archaeon
Lineage: Archaea
Description: bacterial SSU rRNA
Rfam family: Archaeal small subunit ribosomal RNA
Source: RNAcentral